This is a small nucleolar RNA of Myotis lucifugus (little brown bat), 111 nucleotides long. The record is from Ensembl. Lineage: Eukaryota; Metazoa; Chordata; Mammalia; Chiroptera; Vespertilionidae.
ACCCUCCGGUUCCCUUUCCCAUCGGAUCCCAUGGUGAUCGUAAAAGGAGGAAAAGUAAUAUUGAAGCUGGCCUCACAGUACUUGUAGUCUGUGGGCUAGUUUCAAACAAGG